CGGAUUAGGCAUGCAAGUCGAACGCGAAAGUUCCUUCGGGAAUUAGUAGCGUGGCGAAAGGGGCAGUAAUGCAUAGGUAACCUACCCUUCGGACCGGGAUAUACGGUGGAAACGCCGGGCAAUACUGGACAUCGUCAUUGGAUGGCAUCAUUCGAUGAUGAAAUGAUUUAUCGCCGAGGGAGGGGCUUAUGUUCUACCAGCUUGUUGGUGAGGUAACGGCUCACCAAGGCUACGACGGAUAGGGGGUGUGAGAGCACGACCCCCGCCACUGGGACUGAGAUACUGCCCAGACUCCUACGGGAGGCUGCAGUCGAGAAUCUUCGGCAAUGGGGGAAACCCUGACCGAGCGACGUCGCGUGGUGGAUGAAGGCCUUCGGGUUGUAAACACCUGUUGGGGGGAAACAAUACUGAGUGAACCCCUGAGGAAGCACGGGCUAAGUUCGUGCCAGCAGCCGCGGUAAUA
RNAcentral lists this ribosomal RNA (463 nucleotides) under uncultured bacterium. RNAcentral describes it as "bacterial SSU rRNA". It matches the Rfam family "Bacterial small subunit ribosomal RNA", at positions 45 to 525 of the family's 1533-position model. The record is from RNAcentral.